AUACGAAGGGGGCUAGCGUUGUUCGGAAUCACUGGGCGUAAAGCGCGCGUAGGUGGAUCAAUUAGUUGAGGGUGAAAUCCCGGGGCUCAACCUCGGAACUGCCUUCAAUACUGUUGAUCUAGAGACCGAGAGAGGUGAGUGGAAUUCCUAGUGUAGAGGUGAAAUUCGUAGAUAUUAGGAAGAACACCAGUGGCGAAGGCGGCUCACUGGCUCGGUACUGACGCUGAGGUGCGAAAGCGUGGGGAGCAAACAGGAUUAGAAACCCUAGUAGUCC
RNAcentral lists this ribosomal RNA (274 nucleotides) under uncultured bacterium. RNAcentral's name for it is "partial 16S ribosomal RNA". It matches the Rfam family "Bacterial small subunit ribosomal RNA", at positions 523 to 796 of the family's 1533-position model. The record is from RNAcentral.